Mauremys reevesii (Reeves's turtle) is the source of this 627-nucleotide long non-coding RNA. RefSeq lists it as uncharacterized. NCBI's taxonomy places the organism in Eukaryota, Metazoa, Chordata, Testudines, Geoemydidae. The transcript has 3 exons. The record is from RefSeq and is a predicted model, not a curated record.
GCGACCGCAAAGAAGCAGCCGCUCUUUCAACACACACUCGAGGGAGGCCAGGAAGGUGCUAGCCAUGCUCAGUAGUGGUUUUAAAGCUGGGGGGGGGGUGGAAGGCUUUGUAAAGGACAGACUGGAAGCGCCUGGCCAAUCAGUACGAGUUCUGGCCCCCAGUGUGAGCACCAGUCAGAUCCAGCCUCCCCCCUGGGGGAAUCGAUAGAGCUGCUGCGGUAACCCAGACUGAGCUGUGGAUUGGAUCUCACUACGGUUUCCUGUCAUUUUACAGAAAUCAGGGUGAGCCUACAGAAAAGCAGAAGAUCGCGGAUUGUCAGAAGUCCCAGUAACGUAUGCACCUGUUGGACAAUCAGAAGGGCUACAUCAUUCCUAUGGACCCCAAGUCAGAAUUCAAAUUAUAUUCUACUAAUAUACUUUUUUCCUUUAAACAAUGUAUACACCUAUGUACUAAUAAUAUGUCAUGUGCUAACCUGACACUAUAGGCAGAGACAUUACAUAAUCUUUGACUAUUGGCUACUCUGCUUAUCUUGUCUUGCUGCUAGACCUAUCCAGGGGCUCGGGACCACCAACUCCGUCACUUACCUCCGCUCAUGAAAAAUCCAUACAAUCCAUUGUAAUCAGUUG